Molecule: ribosomal RNA, 521 nt
Filed under: uncultured bacterium
Lineage: Bacteria
Description: bacterial SSU rRNA
Rfam family: Bacterial small subunit ribosomal RNA
Source: RNAcentral
GGCGAUGAUGUCUAGGGGGUGUGAGAGCAUGGCCCCCACGACCGGAACUGAGAUACUGUCCGGACACCUACGGGUGGCUGCAGUCGAGAAUCUUCCGCAAUGGACGAAAGUCUGACGGAGCGACGCCGCGUGCGGGAUGAAGGCCCUUGGGUUGUAAACCGCUGUCAGGGGGGAUGAAAUCUCCGGAGGUCCUCCUCCGGAGUUGACAGAGCCCCAGAGGAAGCACGGGCUAAGUAUGUGCCAGCAGCCGCGGUAAUACAUACUGUGCGAACGUUAUUCGGAAUCACUGGGCUUAAAGGGUGCGUAGGCGGCGAUUCAAGUCAGAUGUGAAAUGCCUGAGCUCAACUGAGGCAUUGCGUUUGAAACUGGGUUGCUGGAGUGUUUCAGGGGUGUGCGGAACUGCCAGUGGAGCGGUGAAAUGUGUUGAUAUUGGCAGGAACACCGGAGGCGAAAGCGGCACACUGGGGAACAACUGACGCUGAGGCACGAAAGCCAGGGGAGCGAACGGGAUUAGAUACCCC